Salvia splendens (bonfire salvia) is the source of this 1312-nucleotide long non-coding RNA. RefSeq lists it as uncharacterized. The record is from RefSeq and is a predicted model, not a curated record. The transcript is spliced from 4 exons. NCBI's taxonomy places the organism in Eukaryota, Viridiplantae, Streptophyta, Magnoliopsida, Lamiales, Lamiaceae.
AGAGAAAUUAUCAUUUGUAUGGUGAUAUUGUUUCUUUUGAUACGACGUACUCAACAAAUAGGUAUGUGCACACUAAUUACUAUUUUUCACUUCAAUGAAGUAUAUUGAGCAUAUAGUGAUGUAUAUUGUGCAUUACAGUGAUGUAUAUUUCUGCAUGCUUAUAGUGUAUUAUUUUUCAUUUUAGGGAAGUAUAUUGAGCAAUUAGUAAACUACAAUAUGCUCACAGUGAAGUGUAUUGAACAUGCCUUGACAUUGAGUACAUUGAGCAUAUAAUAAUGUAUAUUGUGCAUUACAGUGAUGUAUAUUUCUGCAUGCUUAUAGUGUGACGCCCCGACUUUUCCUAUUUCUUUUAAGUUAGUUUUUGGAUGACCGUCAAACUUUUAGUCGAAUAUCGUUUUUUUAGAGUUUAUGGAAUUAUUUUUUUAGAGCUCGUGUUUUCCUUAAGCCUUACUUGAUUAGAGAGUAGAGAAUUUUAAGUAGCAAUAGAAGUGGAAUUUUGUGAAUGCUCGAAAAUUAUUGAAGAUUCGUGUUGCAUAAGAAAUCGAGGAAUGUUACACGAUUUUUGAGGAGAAAAUAGAAUUUAAAUUUAUGUUUAGCAAAAGAAUAAAAUUUUAGAGCCUAUAAUGUAUUUUUUUAUGCACCCAGCCCAAUUUUCUUUCUAUGAAACAGCUUUUGGAGAAUCCAAUAUGAGACCACCGUAAAUAUGCUCAAAUCUACUCAAAUCUUCCAUUCAAAUAUCUUCCCUAAGAAUUAGGAGGCAUUCAGUAACAAUUUCACCUAUGUAUAUCUAUAUAUAUACACCCCCACACGUCUCCCACCUUUCAGAAACCUUGAAAAAAAUAUAGAAAAAAGAACCGUGUUGGAGAAGAGAGUUUUCUGCCGCCUAAACCUUUCAGAAACCUUGAAAAAAAUAUAGAAAAAAGAACCGAGUUGGAGAAAAGAGUUUCCUGCCGCCUAAGAAGGAUUUUCUUUCGCAAGCGAGUUAAGGACGGAGUGGGAAUUUUCAAGUUAAGAAAUUUAAGCGAACGAGGUUGAGCAUGACGGGUGCGGUACUGUAUGAUAUUGGUGAGGAAUUGUGAGACGUCGCAAUCUGCUUCGGCUUCGGAAAAGGGCACGCCGGCGUCGUUGAAGUCGACGUAGAGAUUGGCGACGAUGCGGCCAGCAAGGGGGUAGUAUAUGGAGAGGACCUCCGAUAGGGAUUUUUUCAGCUGUUUUGAUUUAAAGAAGUCGGAGAAUUUUGGAUUUGGAGUGUAAAAGUAGACAAAGAGAAUGAAUGUUGUAAAUGCACGUUGAUCAAGAAAUGAUAGUUGGU